UAGCUAGUUGGUGAGGUAAAGGCUUACCAAGGCGACGAUCUGUAGCGGGUCUGAGAGGAUGAUCCGCCACACUGGAACUGAGACACGGUCCAGACUCCUACGGGAGGCAGCAGUGGGGAAUUUUGGACAAUGGGGGCAACCCUGAUCCAGCCAUGCCGCGUGAGUGAAGAAGGCCUUCGGGUUGUAAAGCUCUUUCGGCCGGGAAGAAAUCGCAUGGGCCAAUACCCUGUGUGGAUGACGGUACCGGAAUAAGAAGCACCGGCUAACUACGUGCCAGCAGCCGCGGUAAUACGUAGGGUGCGAGCGUUAAUCGGAAUUACUGGGCGUAAAGCGUGCGCAGGCGGUUUUGUAAGACAGGCGUGAAAUCCCCGGGCUUAACCUGGGAACUGCGUUUGUGACUGCAAGGCUAGAGUACGGCAGAGGGGGGUGGAAUUCCACGUGUAGCAGUGAAAUGCGUAGAGAUGUGGAGGAACACCAAUGGCGAAGGCAGCCCCCUGGGUCGAUACUGACGCUCAUGCACGAAAGCGUGGGUAGCAAACAGGAUUAGAUACCCUGGUAGUCCACGCCCUAAACUAUGUCAACUAGGUGUUGGGUGGGUAAAACCAUUUAGUACCGUAGCUAACGCGUGAAGUUGACCGCCUGGGGAGUACGGCCGCAAGGUUAAAACUCAAAGGAAUUGACGGGGACCCGCACAAGCGGUGGAUGAUGUGGAUUAAUUCGAUGCAACGCGAAAAACCUUACCUACCCUUGACAUGCCAGGAACUUGCCAGAGAUGGCUUGGUGCCCGAAAGGGAGCCUGGACACAGGUGCUGCAUGGCUGUCGUCAGCUCGUGUCGUGAGAUGUUGGGUUAAGUCCCGCAACGAGCGCAACCCUUGUCGUUAAUUGCCAUCAUUUAGUUGGGCACUUUAACGAGACUGCCGGUGACAAACCGGAGGAAGGUGGGGAUGACGUCAAGUCCUCAUGGCCCUUAUGGGUAGGGCUUCACACGUCAUACAAUGGUCGGUACAAAGGGUUGCCAAGCCGCGAGGCGGAGCCAAUCCCAGAAAGCCGAUCGUAGUCCGGAUUGCAGGCUGCAACUCGCCUGCAUGAAGUCGGAAUCGCUAGUAAUCGUGGAUCAGCAUGUCACGGUGAAUACGUUCCCGGGUCUUGUACACACCGCCCGUCACACCAUGGGAGCGGGUUCCGCCAGAAGUAGGUAGCCUAACCGCAAGGGGGGCGCUUACCACGGCGUGGUUCGUGACUGGGGUGAAGUCGGAACAAGGUAGCCGUAGGGGAACCUGCGGCUG
This 1287-nucleotide ribosomal RNA is filed under the name metagenome. RNAcentral's name for it is "bacterial SSU rRNA". It matches the Rfam family "Bacterial small subunit ribosomal RNA", at positions 242 to 1520 of the family's 1533-position model. The record is from RNAcentral.